Molecule: long non-coding RNA, 789 nt
Filed under: Homo sapiens (human)
Lineage: Eukaryota; Metazoa; Chordata; Mammalia; Primates; Hominidae
Description: HSALNT0110245
Source: RNAcentral
GUGAGCAGGAAAGGUGGAGUUAAACUCACACUCCCUAGCUCUAGGCAAUAAACAAUGAAGUGAAAGCCUACACUCCUCCUUCACCCCUUGGGAGAUGUGACAUGGUGGCAAGAGCUUGGAGGUGCUGCAGCUAUUUUGUGACCACGAGGGGGAACCAACAAAGUAGCAGGGAAGCCAACCUAGAGCUCUGACUUAUUUUUUUCUUUUGAGAUGAAACUUUGCUUUUUUUCUCUGCCUGAUCUCAAACUCUUGGGCUCAAGCAAUCCUUCUGCCUCAGCCUCCUGAACAGCUAAAGUAACCAACUCUGAAACUUCUUCUCCAAGGAGUCUUGGGUCCUCUCUUCCCCACAGACAUGAACGAACCAGCUCUAUGACCACAUCUCCCAUAACCAGCCCCGGCCUGCAAAGGCAGCCACCACAGAGCUUCUUAGUGAUGUAUCAGCGCAUUCCUGAUGGACGGUGUGUUACUUGGUGUUCCAUUCUCCCAGUGAAACAUAAUUCUCUGUCAAUGGAAGCAUUUGAGAAAAAAACACCUUUCAAAGUGAAACUGUAUUAUGUUACUGGAACAUUUGUUAAAAAUCUAUUAACCUCUAAGAAGCCAAGAACAGAAAUUCAGCAAUAAAAGGUACUCUCAGAAACCACCUCUGGCCUGAAAAGGGGCCGACUGAAACAUAUACCUAUUUGAAGAUCCCUGGCACACAGAUACAGCAGAAGAAGCCCAAAUGUUUGGCUUUAUCUCCUGUAUCAACAAGGGACCUCAAACCCAAGACUUUCUUCUAAGAUUUAACGU